Molecule: long non-coding RNA, 216 nt
Filed under: Musa acuminata (dwarf banana)
Lineage: Eukaryota; Viridiplantae; Streptophyta; Magnoliopsida; Zingiberales; Musaceae
Description: long non-coding RNA (MACU_LNC007338)
Source: RNAcentral
UAAAAUUAAAAAAUUUAAAUUUAAAUUAAGAUAAAUAGAUAAGUGAUUAUUUUGUUAAUGUAUGGAUGAGGACGAGGAGGUUUGUUAGAUUAUGGUUUAUUUCUUUCUUAUUUAAAAAAAUUAUAAUUUAUUAUUUUGACUAAUAUAAGUGUGUACUUUUGUAUAAGUCUGUAUUAUAGGAAGCCAAUAAAUAUGAUAUUAGAGCCUAGUUCGAAG